GUGAAUCAUCGAAUCUUUGAACGCACCUUGCGCUCUCUGGUAUUCCGGAGAGCAUGUCUGUUUGAGUGUCAUGAACUCUUCAACCUACCGGUUUCUAGUAAAUCGGAUUAGUGUUUGGAUUCUGAACGCCUGCUGGCCUUUAUUGGCGAAGCUCGUUCGUAAAUGAUUAGCAUCUCAUAUUCGAAAAUCGGAUUGACUCAGUGUAAUAGACUAUUCGCUGAGGACGCUCUUUCGGGAGUGGCCGAGUUUUGUAAAGUAGAAGCUUCUAAUUCUAUUAGUCAACUUUAGAUUAGACCUCAG
Molecule: unclassified non-coding RNA, 300 nt
Filed under: uncultured Rhodotorula
Lineage: Eukaryota; Fungi; Basidiomycota
Description: sequence contains 5.8S rRNA gene, ITS2
Rfam family: 5.8S ribosomal RNA (bases 1-71)
Source: RNAcentral